RNAcentral lists this ribosomal RNA (252 nucleotides) under Staphylococcus aureus. Its description in RNAcentral is "partial 16S ribosomal RNA". It matches the Rfam family "Bacterial small subunit ribosomal RNA", at positions 1123 to 1375 of the family's 1533-position model. The record is from RNAcentral. Lineage: Bacteria; Bacillati; Bacillota; Bacilli; Caryophanales; Staphylococcaceae.
CAUUAAGUGGUGCACUCUAAGUUGACUGCCGGUGACAAACCGGAGGAAGGUGGGGAUGACGUCAAAUCAUCAUGCCCCUUAUGAUUUGGGCUACACAAGUGCUACAAUGGACAAUACAAAGGGCAGCGAAACCGCGAGGUCAAGCAAAUCCCAUAAAGUUGUUCUCAGUUCGGAUUGAAGUCUGCAACUCGACUACAUGAAGCUGGAAUCGCUAGUAAUCGUAGAUCAGCAUGCUACGAUGAAUACGUUCCC